This 63-nucleotide transfer RNA is filed under the name Pachybrachis sp. ReAss_150. RNAcentral's name for it is "tRNA-Thr". The record is from RNAcentral. Lineage: Eukaryota; Metazoa; Arthropoda; Insecta; Coleoptera; Chrysomelidae.
ACUUUAAUAAUUUAAAUAAAAUAUUGGUCUUGUAAACCAAAAAUAAGURAUACUUUUAAAGUA